AGUAGAGUCAGCUAAAUAAGCUUUCGGGCCCAUACCCCGGACAUGUUGGUUAAAAUCCCUCCUCUACUA
This 69-nucleotide transfer RNA is filed under the name Clupeoides borneensis (Borneo river sprat). RNAcentral's name for it is "tRNA-Met". It matches the Rfam family "tRNA". From Rfam's summary of the family: Transfer RNA (tRNA) molecules are approximately 80 nucleotides in length. Their secondary structure includes four short double-helical elements and three loops (D, anti-codon, and T loops). Lineage: Eukaryota; Metazoa; Chordata; Actinopteri; Clupeiformes; Clupeidae. RNAcentral also lists the same sequence under 1 other name. The record is from RNAcentral.